GAUGAACGCUGGCGGCGUGCUUAACACAUGCAAGUCGAACGGUGAAGCCCAGCUUGCUGGGUGGAUUAGUGGCGAACGGGUGAGUAACACGUGAGUAACCUGCCCUUAACUCUGGGAUAAGCCUUGGAAACUGUGUCUAAUACCGGAUAGGAGCGUCCACCGCAUAGUGGGGGUUGGAAAGAUUUAUCGGUUGUGGAUGGACUCGCGGCUUAUCAGCUUGUUGGUGAGGUAAUGGCUCACCAAGGCGACGACGGGUAGCCGGCCUGAGAGGGUGACCGGCCACACUGGGACUGAGACACGGCCCAGACUCCUACGGGAGGCAGCAGUGGGGAAUAUUGCACAAUGGGCGAAAGCCUGAUGCAGCAACGCCGCGUGAGGGAUGACGGCCUUCGGGUUGUAAACCUCUUUCAGUAGGGAAGAAGCGAAAGUGACGGUACCUGCAGAAGAAGCACCGGCUAACUACGUG
RNAcentral lists this ribosomal RNA (466 nucleotides) under uncultured bacterium. RNAcentral's name for it is "partial 16S ribosomal RNA". It matches the Rfam family "Bacterial small subunit ribosomal RNA", at positions 28 to 507 of the family's 1533-position model. The record is from RNAcentral.